CCUGCCAGAUCCUUACGUACAUUCGCGUAGAUUAACUUUUGAUACGAGACCUCCUCAGUCUACGUUGGAACCUCGAUUCGUACGCCCGAGCUGGGACACGUUGUACGCUUUCGGGUAUCAAAUUUCUAUUAGUGACAGCGAAUUACUUUAGUCUACAGCGUAAGUUUUAGAGCGGGACAGGGUACUCGCGCAGCUGUAAAGUCGACGAACAAGUAGCCAGCCAGAGAACAAAAGAUCGGCCCAGCACUGGUGCGCCAACAGGGGGGAAAAUAAACGAGCAAACGAUCCAGAGAAGCGCACAACGGUAUAGCUUGUUAACUAUUAAUUAAAGAUGCGUUCGCUACUAGCGAUCGUAGUUCUAAGUUUCUGGAUUUCGUGCAUUUGUGCUUAUCCUGCGAACGGUAUGACCAAGAAUAAUCUGAAUCGGGAGUCCAUCUACUUUCCCGACCAAGCAGAAUACCUACGGCAUUCCAUGAAAUGUUCCAAGAACGAAAUUUUGUGGCCAUUUUAUGGAUAUAUUCGUCGGUGUUACAGAGAAGGCGAACAAGGUCCCUGCAAUAUCGGCAGAAUUUUGGUCUUUGAUAAGAAAUACUUGAAACCUGUUUGCAAAGACGUGACAUUGAAAUAAACAACCGAGGGUUGCAGAUACUGCUCUUACCGAUUCGACGGAAUUCUGCCAAAGAUGUCAGCAGGAAUACAGUUGUUGCGCUCCAUAUACUCGGAAUAUACUUUUUAGUAUAGAGUAACGAUAAUUCAUUUUUAUAUUCAUAUUUUGUAUUCGUACUUAUAUAUUGUAUGUUUAUAAUAUACGAUAUAUGUAAUAUAAUAAACAUAAUAGUUUCACCUCAUUCAAUUUUAACUCUUAUUUCAUUUAUAAAGAGAAAGUAACUUUGUGAUAUGUCUGACUGCAUAGUAUACUGGACUAAUUUAAUAUGAUAUGUCAAUAUGGAAUGUUUGGCAAUAUGUAAAAUUCGACAUAUUUGUAGAAUUACAAAUUAUUUCAGAAAUUCUAAUAUCGAUUGAUUUGCCACUCCAGUAAUUUAUUUACCUAGUUCGAUAUAUUCAUGUACGUGUAACUUACACUUUAAUUUGUUCAUAUGUAUAUGUAAUAUUUUCCAUGGUUCUAUAAUAGUAUCUCUUUUAUACUGUGUCAAUAAUAAAUCAUUGAAAAAUAGAAUUUGUUGUGAAUUAAAUUUGCUACCAAUCUCGUCUUCAAACAAUUAAAAUAAUUUAAUUAGUACAAUAACAAAGGAUAUAUCCUAUGUUAUACCCCUAUUGUAGCGAAAUAUUUGUAUUUUUUGUUUUUGUUAUAAAACUAUACUCAUGGUAAAGGAAUUAGAAAAAAGUACGAAAAGGAAGAAAUACAAAAAUACAACGAAAUUAAACAGUUGGAUAAAAUAUUAGUCGGUUAUUUCGUUUUUGCGAAAAACUUAAAUGAUACAAAGAUAUAUUUGAUAACAAACGACAACAGCAUAUUUUUUAUCUUUUUCUAAUCAAUUUUCAUUCAAUCCAUCAAAGUACAUCGAAUACACGUUCGACCUGCAUACCCAAAAUACCUGGAGAACCCAAAAAACCUGUAAUGAGAAAAACUUGGAUUCGAUACCUACCUCUCCUUUCUUUGUUCAGCCUUUUGUAAAAUUAUAUUCAAAUUAUCAGAUGUUUGUAUCUUAUCAACCUUAUUGGAAAACAAUAGGUGCAAAUAGUUAGUUUCAUACAAAAAAUCAAAAUUUAUUUGUUUGGUCAAAAAAAGCUUCUUAUUUUUAUAAAAUUAAUAACAAAUAUAGUAAAGUGUAGUGUUUUGGAAGAUGCUCUACUACAAUGUGAUAUAAAUUGUACAUUUUCAUAUAAUUGAAGUUAUUAUAAUUUCAUAGUUAUGUUUGGAAAGAUAUUUACAAGUUUUAGUAAUUUCUAAUGUAUGUUCGAACAAAUCUAUACAUUUACCGAUGUUUUCACUAUUUCAAUCAUUUUUGCUACACUGGAAAGCUGCCAUUUGCCAUUAACGUAUCCGUAUGCAGAAAAUUAUUACAGAAUAUCCCUCAUUAGUAUCCAUCUUUUUCAAUAAAUGUAUAUUAAAAAAUUCUAUAUUGUUACAUUCUCGUCAUUUAUCAUGAGAUAAUCAACCGUAGAUAAUCAUAAUACACGCUGAAAUAUGCUCCAGUUGAUCUAAAUACAUCAAAAUGUUGCAAAUUAACUUGUAAAGGUAAUUUUCUUUUUCGAAAUGUAUUGUUUUAACAUAACAUUAAAAAUAACGGAAUAUAGAAUAUAAAUUAUUUGAACCAAUUAAAUGAUUGCCCUUUGAGAAUUUGUCAAAUGAAUCAUAUAGACCGUAUAUAUUAGACCAGAUAUUUUGUGCAAGAGUUAAUUGGCUAUAUUUAAUACUAUACUUAAACUAUCGCUAUCAGCGUGCACUUAAAUUAUUAAGUAAGCCCGAUACAAACUUACAUCUUCUUUCAAAUACACGUUGUUUACAAUUUCUACGUUGAUUAACUAUUUCCUAACUAUGUUUUCUUCACUGGAAAAACUAAUUUUUUAAUAUUUCCAAAACUUCUGUAUACGUAUGCAAAUAAAUAUGUUUUUUCAAUUGACACUCAUUCUUUAAAAUUUCUUUUGUUCAUUUCCUUGUUUUCGCGAUGCAUACGUGCUUCGAAUCGCAAGUUGUCUACGAUUCACCCUAUUUUAAGAAUGAUUGCAACCAGAUAAUAGGCACGAUAAUCUCAUCGGGCUUUCGAUCUUGAGUGUGGUACGCGUACAAACAAGAUACAAUCGAGUUUACUCUGCAGAAUCCCCUAGCGCACUUCUCUAUUGAGAGACACCAAUACCCACGGUGUAAUAUAGCCUGAUCGAAAUGUACUUUCUUCCCUGGCAUUGGUAAUUGCUUGCUUACGGCAACUACAUAUUUCUAACUGUGUUUCUCCAAUUAUUGAGUAAUUCGGAAAAGUAAAUCGGCGAUUCCAUGCACGCAAACCAUAUGAUAUCUCGUGUACAUUAUAUACUAACAUUUUAUUUCAUUGAAUGAUAAUAAAGAACCGGAAGAUAAAAUAGUAUCAGUAGGAAAUAACUAAAAGUAUAUAUAUAUAUUGUACAGUAUUAAGUAAUGAAAUUUAAUAAUUUGAUCGCAUUUAUCGAAACAACAGUAUAUUCCCAUUCCAAUCUUGUUACUAUAUUUACGACAUUCUUAUACAAAAUAACGUGAAUAAUUGAUUAAAAAUAAUUCGUUUUCUUAAAGUAUAUAUAAAAGGUAUAUAUAUAAAAUAUACAGGAGAAACUUAGAUCCUGUACCUAGAAACAGAAAUAAUUUAGAUAUCAUUUUAUAUUUGAUUAUCAUAAUAUAUUGUUGAUGAUAAUUUAUAAUUAAUAAGCAAGCAGAGAAACGAACUUAUUGCUACUAUUUAUAAAACGCUCCAAAAUUAGUCCCUUGCGUGCACAAUGUAAUUAAUGUUUCUAGAAAUGUCAAAUAUUCCUGUGUCUAUUUUUUUCUUAAAAUAAAUUACCUGAUCCGUUUUAGAAUGAAACAUGCAACGAUGACGAGUAAAUAAUCAUUUUUUAUUUGAAGAAAUUAAUGAAAUUAAAUUCAGACUUAUUAUACUAUAAUUUACAUAUUUGUACAUUUAUAGCUAUAUCUAAACAUAAACAAUAUCAUGUAAAUUUUAAGGUGGAAAUUUUUGUCUCCUUUCAGUUAUUUUGUCAUCCUCAUUCUGUAUGGAACGAAAAUACGUCAACGAUAUAAGCGAGCUAUUACGGUUCAAUGUGCGUGCGUCAUGAUUAACCGUGACUGUCGCACGGUCUGAUCACAUAAGGGUUACACUACUGUAGUAAGUGUCUUAUGAAAGAGUACAUAUUAAGAUAAAUUCAUGUAUUUUAGAGCAGACAUAAUUAAAGCGUUCUAGUUUAAAUUAAACUAUUAUAACCAUAUGUAUUUAAAUUUUCAUUUGCAAAUAAAAGUGAAAGCUCUUAAAGUUAUAUGUACGCAUUUUAACAUUUCAUAUUUCCGUGAGUAUUAGAGACACGUUCGCUUGUAUGAAUGAUGUAACUAUUAAUUCUAGAGCUACUACGAAAUUAAAGCCAAAAUAUUCUGUUACUUGAGCAACUACUGGUUCUUCUCUCUUUUACACAAAUUUACGUAUUUAUCGUUAUUAAACUAAAUUAAAUACCAGACAUUUCUCUGGCAAACUUCAGAAGUGCAAUAUUUUGAUCUCUUUUUCAGCAGCAAGCAAUACAUAAACAAUUUCCUUUAUCCAAAAAUUUUCUUUUAACCCUGCUGUUCUCUGCACCUGUUUUAUAUGAUCCAAAUAAAAAUUACAUUUUAAUAAAUAUUGCAUUUUAGUAGAUAUUACUAAAGUACGAGUAGCGUAUAAAUAUUUCGUUUGUGUUAUUCGAUACAUAUUUUGUAUUUGUAUAAAAAUCUGUAUAUUUAAAAUAAUAUAUAUAUUUGUAAAUUUCAUUACUUUAUGUGUAUGUUAUACUUUUCGGUUAGAAAUUUGGAAAAAAUAUCGUCUGAGGAUACAAGAGUGAAAAAUAAGCGAAAAAAGACAAUAGGGUUGAUUUUGUAAUGAAUUAACAAAUUCCUCCAACGUUAAAUGGCCGUAUUAUUAAUAAUUUCCUACUUGUUGCGUCACCGUAUGUUACAACAAUAUAUAUUUAAUAGAAUUUAAUUUCCUCCAAAAAUACAUCAAAGUACAUACACGUUACUUCAUUUUCAUUUUUUUCGGCCAGCAGCGUACACGAAAGGUUUCUCACCUCUGAGGUAGCUUGUACGUAUGCGGACAAGAAGAACGGGUGAGAUUUCCUCUCGAGACUCGCAUAAUUCUCGUUACGUACCAUGUAUUUAAAUCACGCACUGCUGUACAUCAUUCAGCCUGGUGAAUCUCCGAGAUCCAACGAGAAGCUUACAAUGGACCUUGGUUCAAAAUGCAACGUCCCGGCGCUUUUUCGGCUAGUGAGAUUUAAAUCUUUGGAUUAAAAGGAGCAACAAAAAACUCUGCCGGAGAUAUUCUCCCUUCGCCUGGCAGGAAGCUGCGAUUUCUAUAGUCGUUUAUUCAUUCGACUUGCUGCACCGGCGGUCUGUGAUGGAAUUUGUUUUCCGGAGGGAACUAAAUCGUGUACAGAUUCGCCGGCCGUGUUACGCCUGAAACAAAUGUAAGCCAUUGGAUUACGAAAAGCGGCGGUCAAGGCGAACCACCGGCCAGUGGCCAUGCUGGACCGCUUGGCUCUUCCUUAACCCUUUUGCUAGGAUACUUAUAUAUGUACAUUAACGCGUUGAAGUCGAGAUGAAUCUCCGCCUCGUACAAGGAUUUAUGCGGUGGAGGAAAGAAGUCGGGCGUUCACAAUGCGAUCGUUUGUCACGGAGUGCUGUCGUCGAGCCGCUUUUUAUAUCCGCACGUCGGCGAUGACAACACGCGGCUCAACUCGUGGGGACCGAAGUUAACGAUGGAAACCUAGCCACCGAUUCUUUGCAGGGAACAUCUGCAUUCUACAAGAUACCCUCCGUUUCACUGAUAUGAUACAGAGAUUCAAAGAUUUAUAGGGUGUUUGGCAACGGAUCAUCCGAUCGACAAAGGACCAACCAUCUGUGGAAAAUGGAUUUAAAAUACACAAUAGAAGUAUUUUUCUACUUUUGACAAACUAACUCGAUACGUAUAUCAUAUUGUGGUGUAAUUGAAUUAUAUUUUCGGGAAUUUAUUGUUAAUUACCAUUUUUGAAGAUUAUAACAAAAUAUAGCAUAUGAUCUUGGUAUUGUAAACGUAGUGUAAUGAAUUACGCUAGUACUAAAUAAUAA
Molecule: long non-coding RNA, 5776 nt
Organism: Bombus pyrosoma
Lineage: Eukaryota; Metazoa; Arthropoda; Insecta; Hymenoptera; Apidae
Exons: 3
Source: RefSeq, a predicted model, not a curated record